This is a long non-coding RNA of Oreochromis aureus, 2004 nucleotides long. RefSeq lists it as uncharacterized. Lineage: Eukaryota; Metazoa; Chordata; Actinopteri; Cichliformes; Cichlidae. The record is from RefSeq and is a predicted model, not a curated record. The transcript is spliced from 4 exons.
AUUGUUUGCGUGCGCUUGUUCUACAUUAGUUUUACUGGGUCCUGGACAUGCUUAACAUGCUUAUUUUGUGGACUGGGUAAGAAACAUUUUUAUUGUUUUUUGUUUUAUUAAGGGAUUAGCUACCGGGGUUCAUGGGGUUAUUUUUUCAUGGGGUUAUUUUUUUCAUUUGCUUUCUUGGGAUUCCUUUAUGUAAUCCAAGAGUCAUAAAUAUCGAAUAGGAUAGCAAGGAUAGCAUAAAGUGACACUUAAAAUCCAAAAAGUCGAGGGCGAAAGCCACUGUGACACCAUUGUUAUGCUCUAUUAGUAAUCUGUAUUAUGUAAAAAUCGUCUGUAAAUACAGCAUGUUUCCUAGCGGAGGUAUACAUAUCAACAUAGUUAUAAAUUACAGUUUGUUAAACCACACACUUAUUUUUUUAAAUAAAAUUAUUCACGACAUAUGAGUGGGCAGACAAUGGAGGUCGACAGACCUGGUGAGAAUUUCUUCUGAGUAGUAUUUUAUUUAGUUGUAAUUCAAUCAAUAAUUUGCUUCUUGAAAUUUAGUAAUGAAUUUCUUGUUUUACUUUAUAAAUUUCAGAUCCUGCCUUUACCUGCCCCCUCCUAUACUGAUGUGGUGUAUGUGGUACUGCUGAGCUUGUAUGUGGUGGAAGCAGAAUUUGUGAGGAUUACUACUGCUCCACUUGACCAAUACACUGACCAGCUCAUAAAAGUCUUCAAGAAAAAAGGAGGUGCUGCAGUGAAGAAAAUUAGACAAACUUUGGCCCCUGCCACACAGAAGCAAACUAUUGAAAAGGGGAGGGAGUGUGUCCUCAGGGCACUACCUUUUUACCUGAAUGAAGACCCAAGCAUCCUCUUCAAAGAAUAACUGCUACAGCUACAGCUGUUCAGAGGGAGCUGGAACAAAUUACCCUUGCUAUCUUUACCAUCGAAAGAGCUGAUACCUCCAGCCGAUGUGGGUAUAACCAUCUAGGGUGUUCUGCAUGACCUGGAAGACAUGCCCUCUGCAUGUGCACUCUUAAUGGGUGGGAUAUAUGCACUGAAUCUCAGUUAACCUCGAGACUUAAAGCUUUCUUUGAAGUACUUCAGAAGCUCUUCCUUCAUCUGGAUGUCAGCAGACUCUUGACCAAGGUAGAGAUGCUCAAGAAUAAAUUGAAUGAAUAAGCCAACCCUUAAUUUGGAUGUUGAAUGUUCUGUCAGAUGGACAGAAGUUUUUCGGAGGCUGAAUGGGAAUAAAAUGGUAAUUUGUUGAAAAUGACAGAUAAAGGGAAAAUUACACUUAAGAGAAAUUUUGAAAAGUUUGUAAACUACUACAAUUUGACAGAUUUUACUCUUGUGUUACAUUUUGUGCAUUGUAAAGGUAAUUGCAAUACAUACUAAGAAUAACGGUAAGUUAGGAAUGCAGGAUGAAUGUAUAUUUUGCGGACUUUUAAAGACGAACAAUUGUUUCCAUGUUAAAAUGUUUACAACUCAAGUUUUUUGCCCAAACACUGGUAAAAUAAACGUUGACAGUGGCAAGUGUUAAAUGGUUACUGUUGUGCUGUUGCAAAAAACCUGAACGCUGACAAGGUGUUUUAUUGUUAGACAAUAAUGCUGGCAUGUUUUAUUAAAGUUUUAUUUGGGAUGGUGAUAUAAUUUUCUUUGAUUGCUAAUAUCAGUGGACUGUUUAUUAUUAUUAUUAUUAUUAUCAUUAUUACAUUAUUUUUUUAAUUGUGGCCGUUGAGGUACACACUUCACUUUGCAUGUGUUACUGGACUGACCCUAAGCAACCAUUGCAAAUAGCAACUUUGCUAUUCAUUUUAGACACUAGAAGAAAAAGCACUCCACAGACCUUACUAGCAUCACAUGUGCAUAACUCAAGUGUCAUCUUAUCAACAUGUUAUGUAGUCUUCAAUGUUUUUUUUUCUUCUAUUUCUGGCAGAUACAGACAUUUAAUUUAAAGUAUUGAUGUUGCAUCUGUCUAUAUACUGUUAAUUACUAACCCUAAUGAGCUGUUGUAUUUCAUUUUGG